Molecule: small nucleolar RNA, 128 nt
Filed under: Microcebus murinus (gray mouse lemur)
Lineage: Eukaryota; Metazoa; Chordata; Mammalia; Primates; Cheirogaleidae
Description: Small nucleolar RNA SNORA25 (ENSMICG00000033066.2)
Rfam family: Small nucleolar RNA SNORA25
About the family: ACA25 is a member of the H/ACA class of snoRNA that guide the sites of modification of uridines to pseudouridines.
Source: Rfam by way of RNAcentral
AGAACAUUUCAAAGAUGUCAGGUGGGGCUGUGAAACCCAAGAGCUCUUAACGGUAUGACCAAAGAUUGGAGUUCUCUGUAGGAUGCACAGCACUCAGUAGUGCUGUUUUUUUGUGAAGAUAUAAAUUA